Long non-coding RNA from Sus scrofa (pig), 14654 nucleotides. RefSeq lists it as uncharacterized. Lineage: Eukaryota; Metazoa; Chordata; Mammalia; Artiodactyla; Suidae. The record is from RefSeq and is a predicted model, not a curated record.
GGGCGGGCCGCGUGAGUGAUGGCCGGAGGGCGGGGCCGGACGCCCGGGCAGUGGUCACGUGAUGUGGGGGCGCAGGGGGCGAGGGAAAGGUCGUCCCUCUGCGCAAGGUCUCAGUGCGCUGUCUCCGUGCAGAUUAGGGCAUGUGGAGUUAGCUCCGACUUGUGGACUGUGAAAGCGCGUAGUUCCAUUACCUGCCUGCGGAGCAAGGCUGUUUGGGACGUUGAAAGACGGUACUAACGCAGUGUUCUCUUCGGGUGCUGAAUUUGGAACACAGUCUUACUCUGAGAUGUGACCGGGCAGCUCUGGUAAUACUUUUAUAGCAAGUACCAGUCAAUAGCUAGAUUGAAUACAUGUUGCUUGUUAGAUCUUGGGUACUCAGGUGCUUCUGCCUUUUGAUUCAGCAAAUAUUCCUGAGUCGCAUGCACUGUGCAGCCUGCAGUAUACCCGGGCAUACACAGGAAGCCUGGUAAAUAGAGGGUUUGGAGAAUGAGAUCCUGGUAGGAUAGAAGUGCAGCAGGGGGGUAAGAUGGGAGACCAUGAGGAAAGGUGGCAUUUCUCCUGGAAGCGCUAGAGGUAAGGGGGAAAGGGAGGAGGUUCUGUGGAGUGGUGCUGGGGAGGAAUUCCAGUUCUGUUUUGAUAAGGAAAGAACUAAUCAGUGAAGUGUUUUUUUAAUGCCCGGCCGGGGGCGGGCGGGGUGGGGCUAGGCCAAUGACUAUCCCCAACCUCCUACAAGAGGAGCUUAGUGUUUUAGGCCCCUUGGAGCCUACAGGAUUGUAGUUAGAUUUCGUUACAUCACUUGUCUCUCUGCUGUUGAAAUGCAAUCACACUGACAUUAAGAGAAUGGUUAUUUCCCCAGGCCCCACGGUGCACAGAGGAAACUGGGAUUAGGCGACGGUAGUGUGGUAUGUCUCUCGGCUUCAUCUUUAACUAGCUGGUUGAUCUGGUAUAGGGCAUUUUUCUCCUGCUCUUCCUCCUACAGAUGUGGUGCAGAUUAAACACCACUACUAAUUAUUAAUGGAUAAUUUUUUUUUUGCUUUUUUUUUUAGGGCCUUACCUGUGGCAUAUGGAAGUUCCCAGGCUAGGGGUCAAAUUAGACCUGCAGCUGCCAGCCUAGGCUGCAGCCACAGCAAUGCUGGAUCCCAGCCAUGUCUGUGACCACAGCUCAAGGCAAGAAUGGAUCCUUAACCCACUGUGCCAGGCCAGGGGUAGAACCCGCAUCUUCUUGCCACUGAGCACAACAGGAACUCCCGUUAAUGGAUAUUUAGAGAUGCCAUAAAAUUGUGUAAACACUCUGUAUGGUACAAUGUCAUUAUGCAUUUGUCCAAAUCAGUAGAAUGUGCUAUACCAGGAAUGAAUCUGAAUGUAAACAGUGGACUUGGGUGAUAAUGAUGUGUCCAUGUAGAGAUUCAUAGAUUGUAACACAUGUCCCACUCUGGUGCCGGAUGUGGACGGUGGUGGAGAUUGGUGCACUGCAGGGCAUAAGGAAACUCUACUUUCUGCCUAAUUCUGCUGUGAACGUAAAACUGCCCUAAAAGAAUUCAUUAAUAAAAAUGUAAAAAAGAUGCUAUAUAUCAUUUUUUAUCAGUUACUGAAAAAAAUGUUAUGUAGUUGUGCAGCACUUUACUGGGUUUCAGAACCUUUGAGUACAUUAUCUCAUGGGAGCCUCACAACUUUGAGCCACACAGAGCAGUAGCAUUGGCAUAACUAUUUUAUAAAUGAUGCUUAGGAGUUCCCUGGUGGCCUAGUGGUUAAGGAUUUGGUGUUGUCACUGAUGAGGUUCAAGUUCAAUCCCUGGACUGCUGUGGGCAUGGCCAAAAAAAUCCCAUCCCCACUUCAUAAAUGAUGCUUAAACUCAAGCCUUUCAGUAUAGUGCUGAAUUGGACAGUUUUAAAAAUCUACUACUGGAGUUCCCGUCAUGGUGCAUUGGUUAACAAAUCCGAUUAGGAACCAUGAGGUUGUGGGUUCGGUCCCUGCCCUUGCUCAGUGGGUUAACUAUCCGGCAUUGCCGUGAGCUGUGGUGUAGGUUGCAGACGCGGCUUGGAUUCCACGUUGCUGUGGCUCUGGCGUAGGCCGGAGGCUACAGCUCUGAUUGGACCCCUAGCCUGGGAACCUCCAUGUGCCUCGGGAGCGGCCCUAGAAAUGGCAAAAAAAAAGACAAAAAAAAAAAAAAAAAUCUACUACUAAAUGUUUGAAUUGAGGAUCCUGUGCAUGUUUAAAUAGCUUUUUUUCCUCUACUUUAAUACUCAAUACUCAGUUUUUAACUUAUUAGCUGUUUUUGCAUGUACGUGCUAAAUCACAUAAUGUUUGUCAGUGGAUUAGGCAUGUCUAAUGUUAUUUGAAACUGGUGCAGGUCCCUGAAAAAAACUGGCAUGUUAGAAGAAGAAAGUGUCUUCAUGAUAUAUUAAAAAAAAGUGUUCCUUUAUCUCAGAGCUGCAGCUGUUCAGUGGUGUGGAAAUUAAGUAGGUGUGGGAACUGCUGAAGGAGUUUGUAAGCUGUAACCACGUCUAGAUUUCCCCUAAUAGUUUUAAAAACUUGCAACAGGGAAAUGUUCAACACUGCACUUCAGGAUUGAAUUUCAGGGUUCUGAAAACACAAACCGCCAGAAGUGUUUUCUCAGUUAAGACUGCAUUUGAUCCUCACAGCUGUGGAAGGGCGGGUAUGAUUUUCAUCUUCUAGGCAAGGAAAUUCAACUGCUAAGAGGGGGUACAGAUUGCCACAUUCUCAUCUGGAAACAAGGCAGGGCCAGAACCUUAAUGAAGCUUAGAAUUCCACUCACUGAAGAGAGAGUGGGCUACAUUCUUGACUGCUGCUGUCCAAACAAGCCUGCUUUCAAGAAAGAAAACAUACUGAACACAUCUCUGCAGUUUCAUAGAGGUCUGUUACAUUGUUUGCUUUUCAACAAUUUUUUUUUUUUUUUUUGCCUGAACACACUUAUGAACCCUAUUGACUUAGCUAUCCAGGAUCUUUUUCACUAGGGGAAUGAGUACGUAUAUAUACAUAUAUGAUUAAGACCAUUUGUGAAACACAUUUCAAGAUAAAAAAUAACCUGAAAUUACCUCAGAACAUUUUACCAACAUUUCUAAGUGUGUCCAGUGCUGCUACUGUCCACACCGAGCAAGAGAUUAAAAAGUGCAGACCGGGAAUAUAAAAAAUGGAUUUCAUAGUUUUGUUUGCUCCACAAAGAGGAAGGGAGAACCCUGGGAGUGGAGCAUCGUGGGGGCUUGUUAAGAGAGACAGGCCAGCUGCAUGUGAAAGAUAGCCACACCCUGGGCAUGGAGCAGAUUGUAGCUGUCUCCUAAACGGGGUGCUGAGGAGGGGCUGUACCAGCAUCAUGUAAAGGGUGUGAAGAACCAAGGGCAAUCCACUAUCCAGGUCUGCUGGCAAACCCUGGCCAAUGGCCCAGUGAUUCGGCAUGAGGAACUGAAAAUCAACCCCAAAACUCUCAAAUACACUGGGCAGAAUUUACUAUAGCAAUCAGAAUAAAAUGCAGGAAACUUUCAACAUUCUUAAAAGGAUGUAAUAAAAUGUGGUUUCUAUGAAAAGGAAGAUAAUAAGAAUAAACUAAAAGAAUGAGAGGGAAAGGAAGGUGGUGGGGGAGGUGAGUUCAAGAAAAAUGAAAAGUACAGUGACAACAUUCAGGUUAGAAACAGCAAACAGCAGAAUGACACUAAAGAUCAAGUCCGUCCCUUGGAGAUUAAACUUGACAAGUUGCUAACAGGAUGGAAAGAGAUGCUAGUGAGAGGAAUUUCAGAAAAGACAAAGUGUUUUUGAGAAAAUUAUGAAUAUAGAUAUUUUCUCAAAUUGAAAAAAAAAAAAAAAACACAAAAAAAACGGGUGAGGCGAGACAUUGGAUUCACUUCUGUUUCAGAUCAAAGUCUCUGAUACAAAAGUUAGGGGAAGACGUAAACACAGAAGCAUCCAAGCAGAAAAGCAAAAACUAUAAGGGAACAAAAAUCAGGCUGGCCCUCGUCUUCUAUCACAGUGCCAGAAGACAAGAGAAUGGCAUUAAAAGAAAGUGUGACAAGAACUCUCUGUCUAGUCAUGUGGACUUUCAUGCACGAAGGCAAGAGAAGAAAAGAGAAGCUGCAGAGGAAAGUCAAGCAGAAUAGUUUGAGCCCAGGUUGCAUAAUUCACAUGUUCAUUGAGUUUGUGUUCACUCAAAACUGAGUAAAGAAUGAUCCCAAGUUUUUCUAACACAAUUUCCCAGCUCUCUUUGGUGAUUCUUCUUCUUUAGCUGGAAAAUGCCAUCAAAUAAUUCUUCUAAAAGAAAGACACGGAAGGUGUGCAACUUUUGUUUUUUUCUGUCUUUUUAGGGCCGCACCCGUGGCAUAUGGAGGUUCCCAGGCUAGGGGCUGAAUCGGGAGAUACAGCUGCUGGCCUACACCACAGCUCACAGCAAUGCUGGAUCGAUCCUUAACCCAGUGAGCAAGGCCAAGGAUUGCUAGUCAGAUUCAUUUCUGCUGAACCACGACAGGAACUCCAGAGUGCUACUUUUCUGCAACCUCUCCUACCUGGGAAUGUCCAGCGAGCAGCCCCUGCAGCCCUCCCUUAUGUAUAUAUCCCCUCAUGUCUGUGCCUCUUAUUUGCACAUUCUCAGAGCUUGGUGUUUACUGGUGACCAUAAACACCAGAGCAUGUGAGUGCAAGUAAAGGGAGCACAGGAUAAAGAGGAGGAUGUGUACUGCCCUUCAUCCUGGACUCGUGAAAAUUUAGGACUCUCAUUGGAAAGUAAUGUGGAUAAAAUUACAGGUUGAUGUUUUGAUUUUAUUUCAAAAGGAUAAAUAAACUAAGGCAUAGUUCUGACCAUAUACUGCUUACGAGAAGGGCUUGCGAAUUAGAGAAACAGUUCCAUGAGGGCUCCAGUCAGACCAACAUGAACCAAUCCAGCUCGUGAUUGGCAGAGAGAUGAUAGCCUCUUUCUUCUUCAGGGAUUUAAAAAGUGCUCCACCUAAUUUCUGAAUAUCAUAGAAAGUAAAAAGUACUUUUAUUUCGUCAUUUUUCCUUUGAAAAUGUUUUUUUUUUUUUUUUAGCAGCAAACAGGAUUCUUGUUUUCCUUACUUCAUUUUUAUGACCAUAGUAAUUAUAUGUCAACUUACUUAAAAUUAGAGAGGGAGAAAACCAAAAGCCCCUUGGUGGCACUGCUCAUCCACAGAAGGCUCACAUAAAUAGGUACUCAUGUUACGUUAUCACUUCUACAAAGAGCAAUAAAAUAAGUCUGAAAAUCGUAAAUACAGUAGUAGCAGUUCACACAUAUUUGACACGCUUUCACACAAGGAUUCAGUCAACGACAAUAAAUAUAAUUUCCCCUCUUCAAAACAAACAAACAAAAAAAGAAUUUUUAAGGAAAAAAAAGAUCAAUUUACUUGGAGUUUAUCAGCACACUAUUUUUAGCGUGCUUUGAGAGAUUUAAAAACCAUGAAAUUGUAUUCACUGAAUACUGGCCCAUAGUUACAUUUUUUUUUUUUAAACCUGUCUUAAAUACAUACAUCAUGGCUUUCUAUUAAAAUCCUUAAACCUAUGGGAUUUGUAAUAGGUAAGACUCUAUUAAAAUUUUUUUUCCUCAUUAACAAUUUCAUUAAGUUAAAAAAAAUCUGACAUUUCCCUUAAAUGUUAAGUUGAAGCCUGAUCUAUGCUGCUGUGUCCUGUGAAAUGAACCCUAUUUUCAAAGUGAAUAGGAAUGCCUGAGUGGCAUUUAGAGUGCGGCAUUUUCCUUCCCUCAUGAUUCCUGCUGGGUCCUCUUCGCUGAGGCUUUUCCCUGAGUCAUAUAUUUACUGGAAAGGCUACCUAGAGGAGGGGAAAAAACAAAACCCAACAUAAAUGAAACAAGCCUCACUUUAUCGUAAAAACCGUAAGUUAUUUCUUAUUGUUAACAAUUUACAGAAACUUUUCAUACUGGAAUCGGUCAUUUGUUUUGAAUCAAGUAACUUGACUAGACAUAAAAAUAUAUAGAUGCAACAUUAUCUAUUAAACAUAAGCCUCGCCUCGUCACAUUCUUUCUAAAUGCAGGCAGGAGUUGCUAGAGUGACAUCAUUUUAUUACAUUUGCAUGCUCACUGUUUACAUAUUGGUUCAGAAGGUAGGUAAACUUUUAAAGGCUCUGCUUUACAUACACUUGCAACCAAAUAGAAUAGAUUGCAAAGAAUUCUUUGGUCAGAAAUAAGCAUUUGAAUCAUUACCCUGCAGACAUGAAGCUAUGAAUUGGUGACACUGUAGUUAAAGAUUUAAAAGAAAAAAGGAAACUUAUAUUUACAAGUGAAGGGCAAAAAUGAAGAGUGCUAAUUAAAAGCACACCACAGAAAGGGGAAUAAAUUUUGUUCUGGAGCCUAAACAAAUAGAUCAAUGAAACAAGGAAAUUGAGAAAUUCUUAAGGAAGUAGUAUAUAACAAAGGUUAUACACAAUGACUGUAUACAUUUCCAACCAAUGAGGAAAAGUAUGAACUGUGUGAUAAUUGGUAUUGUGUCAAAUAAGUAAGGAAAGGGUUAGAUAAGUUUGCUUCCUCCCCACCUAAUUCUAAAUGAAUUACAGAACUAAAUGUAAGAGAGUCAAAUUAUAAGAAGUUGUGAAUAUUUAUACAAUCUUGGGGUGGGGAAAGAGUUUCCUAAAUAUACCACAUUAUGCUUUAUUUAUAAAAAAGCCCCUUGCUAUGCUUAGUGCUAAGAAGUUACAAAUCAACACAGAAAAGAUGAAUACCAAUAGAUAACUAGGGAAAGAAAAAGCAAUACAUGAAAGAAAAAAAACAGCAUGUAAAUAUAUAAAAAAUAUUCGAUAUCAGUGGGUAAUCAAAGAAAUACAAAGUGAAGGAACAUACCAAUUUCUAAACACCAAAUUAUCUGAAGGAAAAUCAGAAAGACAGGGAGGUGGGUAGAAAUUUUGCUAAAGGAAUACUUGUAGAAACUUUAUAAUAAUUUAAAUACACGAAACAACUCAAAUGUCCAGAACUUGUGAUAUGACUACGUCUAUUAUGACCAAGAUACUAGGUAUGCAGAGAAGGAUAAUUACUAAUAUGAAAAAAACAGGUUAUAAAAUCACAUGAAUAGUUUCAUUAAAGCUUAAAACAACAACAACAACAACAAAACAACCCUGCAAAACUCCACCAAUCAGAUAUGUGGUGCCUCAUUUUCCUUAUCUGUAAAAUGAGGGCAAUACCUACCCCCUUGGAGUUGUUGUAAAGAUUAAACGAAUCACUACAUGUAAUGCAGCUGAACACUACCUGGCACAUAGAAACUACUUGACGACCACUAUUAUCGUUAUACUGAUAAUAAAACGAUGGGACGAUUUUACUUCUAAAACUAAGUAAUUGUCAAUUCUCUAGUGGAACAGAUAUAAAUGGCUUUUAUUUUCAUUUUGCUUAACUGUACUUUCUAAAAUUGUCAAAGCAAACAUAUUAAGUAUGUAAAUAUGAACGUACUCCCUGCCCCCUCUCCCCCCAGCAAGCUUUUCAAUGCAGAGCACCUAGUCAGUCAACUCAUACUGAAAAAUGAGAGUUAUCAGCUAGGAAGAAUCAAAGCACUCUAUUACUAUAGUAUAAAUACCACAUUUAUACCAUAGAGUAUCUACUGAUCACAAAUACACAUCUUUGAUAUUCCGAACUGCACACUCAACUGGAGGAACAAAAGUUUACAUAUACACAAUCCUGAUAUAUUAAAUAUCUAAAUAGGAAAAAUAAAGUUUUAAAGCUAUCAGGAGAAAAUACAGAUGGAUAUCUUUAUGAUCUCGGGUUAGGGGAGAAAUUUUUUUUUUUUGUCUUUUUGUCUUUUUGCCAUUUCUAGGGCCGCUCCUGCGGCAUAUAGAGGUUCCCAGGCCAGGGGUCCAAUCGGAGCUGUAGCAGCUGGCCUACGCCACAGCCACAGCCACACGGGAUCCGAGCUAUGUCUGCGACCUACACCACAGCUCACGGCAAUGCCAGAUUCUUAACCCACUGAGCAAGGCCAGGGAUCGAACCCACAACCUCGAGGUUCCUAGUCGGAUUUGUUAACCACUGCGCCAGGACGGGAACUCCCCCCCCCUUUUUUUGGGGGGGGGAGAAUUUCUUAAAGACAAUCCUAAAAUCAUGUAUUACUUGUCAAUGAACACUAAUCAGAUAACAUUGAUCUCUUGAUCAUCUCAAAAUUAAAAACCUGACGUAGCAAUAAAUAGGUAUAAGGUGAAAGACAAGAAAUACCCGAAGAAGAUAUUUAGAAUGUACACAAUAAAGGAGCAGCAUUCAGAAUAAAUGAAGAACCCUUAUGAAUUAAUACAACAAUGAUAAUGCAACAGGAAAAUGGGCAAAUGAUUUGAACACAGAAGAGGAACCUCAACUGGCCAGUAAACAUAUAUUUAUUUAUUUAUUUUUGUCUUUUUGCUAUUUCUUUGGGCCGCUCCCACGGCAUAUGGAGGUUCCCAGGCUAGGGGUCGAAUUGGAGCUAUAGCCACCGGCCUACGCCAGAGCCACAGCAACGCGGGAUCCGAGCCGCGUCUGCAACCUACACCACAGCUCACGGCAACGCCGGAUCGUUAACCCACUGAGCAAGGGCAGGGACCGAACCCACAACCUCAUGGUUCCAGUCGGAUUCAUUAACCACUGCGCCACGACGGGAACUCCUUUAUUUAUUUAUUUAUUUAUUUAUUUUUUGUUGGCCAGUAAACAUAUAAAAAGAUGCUUAGCAUCACCAGAGUCAAAACAUAUCCAUUAGAACAACAACAAAGUAUUUUUCACUCAUCAGAUUUGCAAGAAAAAACACUGCUGAUGGGAGUGGCAGCAGUUUCAACCCUGUAAGAGGGUAACUGACAGUAUCUAACUAAACUGAGGAUGCACAUAUGAAGAUGCACUAUAACUGAACAACUGGACUUCUAGGUACAUAAACCUUAGAGAACCUCUCAGACAUGCUUAAGGAGAUGCACAUAAGAACGUUCACUACAACACUGUUUACAAUAGCAAAUAAUCACAUGCAAUCUAAAUGCUCAUACACUAUUCUGUAUUCCUAUGAUGCAAUAGUGUAAAGAGACUAAAUCUGUGAACAAGAUAGAUUUCAAAAUCAUUUCAUUAAAUAGAUAUGAAAAAGCAGGUUGUAGAACGUUAUUAGGCAGUGUGAUACAUCAUUUAAAUUUAAAAAUUCACCAAGGAUAAGUAUUUUUAAGGAUACAUAUGUAAGGGCUUAAAAAAGAAUAGGAAGGAUACCUGAAAGCAUCAUAAUGGAUCCUGUGGGAUGGACGGGGACAUGAGAGACAGGAUGGGCCUGGCGGUGGUAGUCAAAGGGAACUUUGACCAUCUAAACCUUUUAUUAACAAAAGACUGAAAAGACAAUGUGAAAUAAUGCCAGUUCUCUAACAGAUGGGUAGUUGUUACAUUAUUUGUAUCUUUUUAUAUUUUUCCCCCAAAUGUUAAGAAAUCAUUCUUUUGUAAGAAUAGUACUUACAGUCCUAUGACUGUAGCUCUUAAACAUGUAAUCCUCUAUUAUAAAAAAAUAGAUCUCAUUAUACCUGAAGAGGCUGCAUAUAAAAAAUUCACAUGUAAAAAGAUAAAAUUGUUAGAAAUAAAAUAUGAACAUUUAUGUAAUGUGAGGGAAGAACAUGAAAUUCUUAAAAUCCUAUAAACGUGACUUGAAACUACCCUAAAGUUGGCUAGAUUAAACUACUAAAACAAACAAAUACAGGUACAGCAAAAUAAAUCCUAAGUGAGGCUGGUGGUGAAGGCUACUGUAUACAUUUGACAAAGCAUGAAUUAAUUUCUAAGUAGAAAGAACUCAAGACCAAAAUGAAUACUCAAAACACAAAGAUAUAAUAUGAAAAAAUAGAAAUGACAAUGUAGAAAAUGUCACAGCUCAAUGGUAAUAACAGAACCUCAAGAGGGUAAGCAAAAGACUAUCUCAAUGAAGUGAGGGUGCGGGAAAGACAGAUUGUCAACAAUGACAACUUGGUAAUAUUGGUAUCGCUGUCGAAAUAUACCUACUUUUUUUUUUUUUUUUUUUUUUGGCUUUUUUAGGGCUGCUUCUGGGGCAUAUGCAAGUUUCUAGGCUAGGUCCUGAAUCAGAUCUACAGCUGCCAGCCUACACCAUGGCCACAGCAACACAGGAUCUGAGCCACAUCUGUGACCUACACCACAGCUCACGGCUAUGCUGGCUCCUUAACCCACUGAGCCAGGUCAGGGGUUGAACCCCCAUCCUCAUGGAUACUAGUCGGGUUUGUUACCCCUGAGCCACAACGGGAGCUCCCAAAAUAAGCACAUUUUUAAACCUAUUAUUCUUCCAAGUGGGAAUCUAUCCUGAAGAAAUAACUAGACAAGUAUGCAAAUAGGCACUGGAGUGUUUAUAUGAACAGUGGUCUUCAACCCUGGGUGCAUGUACUCCUCAGCAGCUUCGCAGGACAAGUAGGUAAGGAAGGAGUUUUAAGGGAGGUGACCACAGUGCUUCAACUUCUGAGUUCUCUCUGAGAAUGACUUUGUGGCCCAGGCUUUGGGCUGUUUUUCACGAAUCACACCAGUUUUUCUUCCCUUUUUCACGAAAGAGAGGUUUAUCUUCCAACCAUCCACCUCUUACAUGUGGUACGUUGCCCUAUGGUGAAAAAACCUUGGGAGGCAAGGAGGCAAACAAAAUAUCGAUGCCUGUGACAAAAUGUGAAUGCCUCUAAUAAAACUCCAAAUUUUUAGCCUUCAUAAAAUUACAGACAGCUGAUGACCAUCACAAAUAACUUCUGAUGAUGCAUGACUACGUAAUUUUUGGUCAUUUAAUUAAAAAGGAAUGAACAUAACUGAGUGGCACUAUUGUAAUACAUCUUUCUCUUCCAGACUCUUAAAGGUAUUUCUAUUAUUUUUAAUUUGCUAUCAUAAAGACAAAUGAGGUUUCUCAAUGUUUAGCAAGUAAAAAACCAAAAAGAUUAGGAAUAGAAAUGAUUCAUUGUUUCAUUCCUGCAGUAAGUAGUACUGAUCCAAAGAUACACGAAUAUGUGAGGGGAAAAAAAUCUCAUCUAAUUAAAUGACAGUCAUUUUCAGUAAGUAAACAUAAAAAGUAAUUUUUAAUCAAAAUGUGUAACAUUUCUUUUGGCCAAUUAUGUUAUUAAUAACUCUAAAAACAAUUGGAAGAAAAUUUUACACUCAGAUUUAAUAAAAAGCUUAAAAAUCCAGUUUAUAUAAAUACUUCUGUUGCAGAUAAGAAGCACAGGCUGAUCAAGAAAAUGCUUGAAACAUAUAUGAUAAAAAUAUAUCACCUUAAGAUAAAAUUCCAUGGGAGUGAAACAAAGGAAUUCAAAGGAAAAAAAUGUCAAAUUUCUGCCAUAAUAUUUAUAUUUCAUCUGAUACAUUUAAGGCUGAUUUGAAAGUUUUGUUUUUAAAAGGCCAAUAUUUACAGAAAACCUCCACAAAUUACAUGCAACUACAAUGAGAAAUUGAGAUGUCAACUUAAACAUAUACAAGGGUGGUUCCCCCCAAAGAUUUUGGGGGAAAGCAUGCAAGCAAAAAACUUUUGAAACACUGACAUCAUAAAUAUUUUAGAAGAGCUAGCCCAUUAGUAAGGAAUGGUUAAAUAAAUAAGACAUAUUCAUAUAAUGGAAUAUCAAGAAGGGUAUGAAAAAAAAGAUGUACAUUCACUGAUAAUAAAUAAUAUUUCCCAUAUGAUUUUUAAAAAGUGCCUCUGUUGGGGGGAGGGAUCAAUUAGGAAUUCAAGAUUAACAUAUAUAGACUACUAUAUAUAAAAUACACAACCAACAAAGACCUACUGUAUAGCACAGGGAACUCUAAUCAAUAUUCUAUAACAACCCUAUAUGGGAAAAGAAUCUGAAAAAGAAUGAAUAUGUGUGGACAUAUAAUUGAAUCACUCUGUUGUAUACCUGAAACUAACAACAUGGUAAAGCAACUAUAUUCCAAUAAAAAAAAGUAAAUUAGAAUUAAAAUAUUUAGAAAAUACCAUUUUUUAAUUAUACCUUAAUACAACUUGAAUUUUACUAAAUACAUUAUUUUAUACCUUUGGGUAGGCUUGGCUAUAUUUGAAAAUCUUGUUCUAUUUCUUUGAAAUACAGCAUUUUAAUUAAGUUUGGCUUAUUUCAAUACAUGCUUUAAAAGACUGUCAGAACUAAAAAAGGAAAAAAAGUCAGCAAAACAAACAACCCCCCCCCAAAAAAAACCUUAAAAAGUGUGCCUCUAUUACUUAAAAUUUACUAUCAUAAAGACCACUAUGUUUUUGUUCUUUUUUAAAAAAUUUUCUCCCUUUUUUGGCCACACCCAUGGCAUAUGGAAGUUUCUGGGUCAGGGAUCAAAUCUGAGCAUAGGCUGUGAUCCUUAAUCCACUGCGCUGGCCAGGGAUUGAAACCAUGAUGCCACAGAGACAAUGCCGGGUCCUUAACCCACUGUGCCACAGUGGGAACUCAGAUUUUGUAGACAUAUAAUUGUUUUUUUAAAUAAGUAGGCUUUAACAUUCUGGUCAAGGAAAAAAGUUUAUACAUCAUCAUGUGGGAGAAAAGAUAUCCACGAAUCUCUUAUAACAUCUCCAGUUUUUAAGAUUUCAAAUCAUGGGAUUAAAAUGGAAUAAAUGAAGAGACAGAGGUAGUUUCUUUUGAAAAGUAAUUUUCUUUCCAAAAAAUGGUAGAGGAUUAAGAAAUAGAAAAUGUUAGUUUCUUGAGAUUUUCAUACUAAACAGUUCAUGACUCUGGUUCUCCAAUCUCCAUGAACUCUUUUUUUUUUUUUGUCUUUUUGCCUUUUCUAGGGCCGCUCCUGCAGCAUAUGGAGGUUCCCAGGCUAGGGGUCUAAUCGGAGCUGUAGCCGCCGGCCUACGCCACAGCCACAGCAACAUGGGAUCUGAGCUGCGUCUGUGACCUACACCACAGCUCAUGACAACGCUGGAUCCUUAACCCACUGAAGCAAGGCCAGGGAUAGAACCCGCAACCGCAUUGGUUCCUAGUCGGAUUCGUUAACCACUGAGCCACGAUAGGAACUCCUCCACAAACUCUUGUUAAAAAUUUCCAUUAUAUAUUUGUCCUAGAAGAGACAAUUACAGCAAGGUUGAGAAUUUCUGAAACAAGGGUAGUAAUAAUUUAUUGUGAGUGAUGUGUACCAGGUGCCAUGUCAAGGGCUUCACAAACAUGAAAUUAAUCCAACUGCCCCAUGAGAUAUUAGCGCCAAUUCACUGACGAGGAAACUGAGGCACAGAGAUGUCUGAUAAUGCAACAGAGGUAAUGCAGCUAGUAAAUGAUUGGGCUGGACUUUAAACUCAUAUAAGUCUGACUUCAAUGCCACUGCCACCCCCAGCAACCUCUGCUCUAAGAGGGUACCAUUCUAAGUGCUUGCACAUGGAUUUCUGAACAGCCCUACAGGGCAAGAAAUAGAAGCAGUAUUAUUAUCCCCUGUAACAGAUGAGGAAACUGAAGUAAGUGGAGGACUAGAUCACAAAGCCAGAAAUCACAUCAUGUAAUCUGAUGGCAAAGCUGAUAUUCAUAAACGACUUGUUGUUGUUGGCAAAACAAACAUCUCAACCAAGCAAGGAUCAGUAUUUUCUCAUGUAAAACGUUCUGGAAAUACCUGUUCAAGGCUGAAGCACUACGAACAACACUCUUUUGGCUUGUUGACAUCUGGUAACUAUGUGAUCCUCAAAGUCUCAGAGGAUCUAUGGGAAACAAUCCCACAAACUGCAAACAAUCCCCUUAUCUGUUCAAGUGCCUUCCAGGGGCAGCCUGUCACUCGACACAUCCAUCCUUCACAGCUGCUCCCACUGUCAAUCAAAUCCUCUCCUGGACCCCAUUUCACUCUAUUUCAUUUUGAGGGUUUUCUCAGAACUCUUCCUAUUUUUAAGCCCAUAUAUUCCACUGAGAACAACUACAAAACCUUCCCAGGAAAGAGCUGCUCUUGCCUGUUCUUACAGAGCUCCCUGUGUCUUCACCUCUCACAGACACACCGUAUUUCCCUUUUGGAUGAGGGUGGCAAUGCUCUGAUUCUCUCCGGGUCCUUGUUCCACCUCACUCUGCAUACCAACCUCAAGCCGUUUAAAUUUUUUUCGGAAAGAGAUCUGAUUUCGCUUCAAAUGUUUUCUCCAAUCAUUAAAAAAAAAAAAAAAAAAACAAAAAAAACCCAACAACCCCCCCCCCAAACAACCCAACUGUAAAAUUCACAGAUCAUAAAAACAGGUUUCUAUUUCUAUGUAGAUCAUUUCAUAGACUGGAGAUAAUCCAUCUUGGUACUGACAGAAAUGGAAGUACUUAAAUAAUUGAAUCACUGCAUUUAUAGUUCUCUUCUUAAUGACAUUCAAAGUAGAGACAAUCAAAUACUCUCUGCCUGGAGCUUUCUUAGCUUUCCCCUUUGAGUCCUCUGCGCCUGGCUUACUUCAGCCUGGGCUGCUCACAGCAGGGAGGGGGUCUCUCCACUGCGGGCCCUGGGGCGCUGCAGAGGCUCUGUGAGCACUGCUCCUUCUCCGUAACUGACACCUGAUGGUAGAGCCAGCUUAGCCUCUUCACACUCUGUAACUAACAGGGGCAUCUCUCUAAUCUAAAAGCAAACAUUGUUUGCACAUUAGCAACAGGAUACAAUAGCAAAAGCUGAGCAUCAGCAUAUGGUUUGUUUUAUAUUAUAUACAAAAAAGUCCAGUUACAGGCAAGUUAAAAAGAGGGUACCCUGCUCUAUUUGCUUAUAUAGUCUCCCUCCUUUAACCUUACUUUACUGAACUAGAUAUGUGUGUGUGUGUGUGUGUGUGUGUGUGA